AACGAACGCUGGCGGCAGGCUUAACACAUGCAAGUCGAGCGCCCCGCAAGGGGAGCGGCAGACGGGUGAGUAACGCGUGGGAAUCUACCCAUCACUACGGAACAACUCCGGGAAACUGGAGCUAAUACCGUAUACGUCCUUCGGGAGAAAGAUUUAUCGGUGAUGGAUGAGCCCGCGUUGGGUUAGCUAGUUGGUGGGGUAAUGGCCCACCAAGGCGACGAUCCAUAGCUGGUCUGAGAGGAUGAUCAGCCACACUGGGACUGAGACACGGCCCAGACUCCUACGGGAGGCAGCAGUGGGGAAUAUUGGACAAUGGGCGCAAGCCUGAUCCAGCCAUGCCGCGUGAGUGAUGAAGGCCCUAGGGUUGUAAGGCUUUUUCACCGGUGAAGAUAAUGACGGUAACCGGAGAAGAAGCCCCGGCUAACUUCGUGCCAGCCGCCGCCGUAA
This 447-nucleotide ribosomal RNA is filed under the name uncultured bacterium. RNAcentral describes it as "partial 16S ribosomal RNA". It matches the Rfam family "Bacterial small subunit ribosomal RNA", at positions 29 to 523 of the family's 1533-position model. The record is from RNAcentral.